RNAcentral lists this ribosomal RNA (503 nucleotides) under uncultured bacterium. RNAcentral's name for it is "partial 16S ribosomal RNA". It matches the Rfam family "Bacterial small subunit ribosomal RNA", at positions 30 to 523 of the family's 1533-position model. The record is from RNAcentral.
AUUGAACGCUGGCGGCAGGCUUAACACAUGCAAGUCGAGCGGGGUGAUGGUGCUUGCACUAUCACUUAGCGGCGGACGGGUGAGUAAUGCUUAGGAAUCUGCCUAUUAGUGGGGGACAACAUCUCGAAAGGGAUGCUAAUACCGCAUACGUCCUACGGGAGAAAGCAGGGGAUCACUUGUGACCUUGCGCUAAUAGAUGAGCCUAAGUCGGAUUAGCUAGUUGGUGGGGUAAAGGCCUACCAAGGCGACGAUCUGUAGCGGGUCUGAGAGGAUGGACCGCCACACUGGGACUGAGACACGGCCCAGACUCCUACGGGAGGCAGCAGUGGGGAAUAUUGGAAAAUGGGGGGAACCCUGAUCCAGCCAAGCCGCGUGUGUGAAGAAGGCCUUAUGGUUGUAAAGCACUUUAAGCGAGGAGGAGGCUCUUUUGGUUAAUACCCAAGAUGAGUGGACGUUACUCGCAGAAUAAGCACCGGCUAACUCUGUGCCAGCCGCCGCGGUAA